RNAcentral lists this non-coding RNA (253 nucleotides) under uncultured bacterium. Its description in RNAcentral is "partial 16S ribosomal RNA". It matches the Rfam family "Bacterial small subunit ribosomal RNA", at positions 524 to 776 of the family's 1533-position model. The record is from RNAcentral. RNAcentral also lists the same sequence under 1 other name.
UACGGGGGGGGCGAGCGUUGUUCGGAAUUACUGGGCGUAAAGGGUUCGUAGGUGGCUUGCUAAGUCAGACGUGAAAUCCCUCGGCUCAACCGGGGAAUUGCGUCUGAAACUGGCGAGCUUGAGUGCAGGAGAGGAACGCGGAAUUCCAGGUGUAGCGGUGAAAUGCGUAGAUAUCUGGAGGAACACCGGUGGCGAAGGCGGCGUUCUGGACUGCAACUGACACUGAGGAACGAAAGCCAGGGUAGCAAACGGG